AAUGAAGUCCAUGCUUUAAUUCCACCCUAUCGCCAAGCCACGUGGACCCCUAACUGGGAGCUGCAGGAUUAUGACUAUUUAAUCCUCCUCUGUGCAUUUCCCCUUGCUUUUUUUCCUGCUUCCAAACCCCAACUCUGUCUCAUGUUUCUAUCGGCCAAGAGAGAGCCUUGGACCAGCCCACCAGCAAGCACAGUCCUCCUGGGGUACAGACCACAAUCUGCCCAUCACCCGGGUCGGUUGGGCUGAGACAUAUGAGCACAGCCUGGUGUUUUCAGCUGCUUCCUGAGCAGAAGGGCAGGAGGCAGGGCCUCCAAGCACAGGACUGGGAAAGUGGUGGCCCUGCUCGGGGUUCCUUGUCUUGCACACCUUCGUGCCUGGGAGUUACUCCGCUAAGGAGAGUUUUCUCUACAUUUAGCAAAAGCAGGGCGAGUGCCUAGGAAAGUUACACACAUUGGUCCCUCAGGUAACAGCCCUCCCCUUGGCCAGGGGGACCACUUAUCCAAGCAAAAUUAGUGGAUUUUUGCCUGAAUAUGACUUAAUCUGUAUGGCAGAAAGAAAGGAUUUCUCAGCUACUGGCACCUGGGCAGACUAUUCAGAUGGUUAAAUAUUGCAGUGUUUUAGAACUGGAAAAAUCCUACCGCCUCCCACGAAGGUAAGAAAACCAAUGUUGAAAGAAGUCAAAUGAGACACAGGGCAAGACCCAGUCUGCACACUGACUGGCGGCAGAAUAUGUUAGAACCAGAACUCCUGGUGCAGGCUUGUUGGCUUCUAUAGGAUGUGAAGUUGGUCCAGCUGGCCAGUUAUUUUAAGCCAUUGGCUUUUAAGUCUGGAGGUUGCGUGCAGUGGGUUGGAGAGGGGAGCCUGACCUGGAGAUGGAGGAAAAGUUCAAAGCCGUCUUCGUUUCUGUCAGCAGCCCUCUCUCCCUCCUCACCAAGUGAUCUCGGGAGGUGAAAUGAAAGUCAUGUCAGUUUAUACCCAGGAGAACCUGGAAACAAUAAAGGCUUAAAUUUAGACAAGAAAAACGAAAACGAAUGAUCAUCAAAAGAGGCACUCUUACGGUCAAUUUAAAAAAAAAUCCUACUGAGACACUAAAGUGAGAUUUGGGGAUUUUCUUUUCAUAGAAUUGUCGUGGUGUGAGGACUUGCAGAGACGUUUGUAUCCAAGCUUUUCUUGGGAGAUGAGGUCACUUUCUCACAAGUACUUUUAAAUAAACACACACACGCAGCUAUACAUAUAGGUACGUAUAUGUAGUUUAUUUUAAAGCCAUAGUAUUUCUUAUUUUUCUGUAUUUUGCCCUAGUUUCUGCUAAAGGCCACUAUGCAUUCACAUUUAAAUAUGGCUUCAGCUUCAAUUUAGCAUAACGUGUACCCCAAUUUAUUGGGUAUCAAGUGGUUAACAGAAAUGCCAUGAAUGCAUAUUCAAGGAGACCCUUUAGCUGCAUUAAGAAGAAAGUACCAGCUUUCCUGCUAACCUAGAAAUGUAAUUUUUAGUUCAUUCCUCAAUCAGGAGGUAACUUUUCAAAGCCCAACCUGAAAGCAUGAAAUGUAACCUUCCUAAAGGUGAGAAGAGACCCAAAUCACAGAUGAGGAACAAGAAUUCUUGUGGAAGUAGACUUAGCAGUUGUGAAGCUGCAGGAAGAUAAAGAAGCUUCUCUUAGGAUAAUAAAUACCUACAGGCUGGCAUUUUGUAAGAAAUGUCACUUAUAUAAAAUGUGGAGGUUGUUGGAUAUCAAUGUUAUGUUGAAACACAUUCCUACGUAAUUAUUUUAACUAAAGGCACCUGGUAAGGGCAAACUUGAGGCAGUUUUUUGUGUUGUCUCUUUUUUUUAAUUUUAAGAUAAAAUAAACUUUCAGGUAAUUGCUUCCUACCAUUUUGCUGUUUUGUUUUGGUUUUCCCUUAUACCAGCAGAAACAAAAGACAUCCAUCAUGAAGCAGAACUUUUUUGAAGUGGGACAACCAUGUGUGCCCUCCCUCAACCUUAAGGCAAGCAGACCGAUUCCCUCUUCCUCUAAAUUCUAGCAUUCUGACUCCACAGGAAAGUACAAUAGUCCAACAGAUCUACCAAUACUCUCUUGUUAUAAAAUGCUAGAGAGUUUCUGGAGACGGAGUUUAAAAAUUGCACAGGAGGCGAAGAACUUUCUAAAACAAAGAGGCUUGAGAUCCUAACCCUUUUCUGUUAAGGUUAGAGACUGUUAGAAUAUUUCUGAUGGACUGAAGUAGCUUCAAAUAAAUUGAGCAGUCCGUGAGGGACACCAGGGGCUAAGCCACUGGCGAGUCUCUGCAGGCUUCCUAGAGUCACCACCAAGGGUGGGGCAGCCCAUUGCAGACGCAGCACAGGAACGAUGGCAGAACCACAUGCAGCCCUCCUCCCACCACUACCCAGGGUCCUGAAGCUGAGGACACGUGGCUUGGGGAGCAUGGAUAUCUCAGGUAUGUUCAAAGAGCAGCCUAACAGUGGCUCAGACUGACUUUGGUAAAAGGAACAUUCUCCUCCCCCAAGGAAACACCACAAGAGUGAUGCACAUCAGACACCGUAACCCAUCCUGCCGCGGGCACAGAACCUUGAGGCUUCCUGCUCACCUGAUUCAAGGUGGUGUCUGCCUGAGCUUCUGCAGUCCUUCCGCAAGGACCACCCAAGUGCUCAGCUCAACUGAGUGUAGCAGCCACAUCAUAGAGAACAGCCUGGACCCUCCUGCAGGAUGAUCGGAUUUCAGAAUCCUCAGCAGUCCUUUGGGUUUAUAUUUUUCUCUUUGAGCUGUUGGUACCUACCCCUGAAUUGCUGGAUUGAGUCAGAACUUGUCCUUUUCACAGGAAGAAGAGAACUCUGGAAGAAAGAAAAAAAAAUAGUCUCUCCAUUUGCAGAUGGCAGACUGGUCAUAAUCUGGAGGUUAAGAGAGUUCCCUGAGUUUAUACACCAAACCAAUGAACUGGAUUAUACGGCAGCUACAUGAAGCUUAUCAUUCUGGAAGAUGGAAGGUGGUGAGCAGUGUAUAAAGGGGGAAGCCACUGGCCUGUGUGUGGAAAUUGAAGCAUGGAGGGAAGAGCCAGGUGCAAGGAGACCCAGGAAGGAAGAAAUGAUAACCUCUGGAUUCUCAGCUUUCAAAUCCCAGCAACUCAUUUGAUUCUCACAACAGAACCAACUACGAAGACGCUGGGACUAUAAAGGAAUGAAACAUCUCACUGGACUAGCGCCCAUGUUUCGUAGGACUGGGAGCAGGUGAGGAGCUCGAUAAUAGCCAGAAAAGGAGAGUUGUGGGCCAUUCCUUUAGACCAGUGGCUGCAGUCUGACCAUGUGAAGGUGAGUCUGCCUGGAGGAGUACGGUGUGAUCAUACACAGCAGAUUAUGAAGUAAGUCACAAGCCCCACCCGCCUCUAUUAUGCCUUGCUGCCACACCCCUUUAGGUUGCUGGCUCUGACCCGGAAAUCAUUUGAGUUUGUAACUCCAGAUUCAGAAAACAAUCAGAGCCAAGAAAAGAUUUGACAUAACAUCUGAUUGCUAACAGCUUAGAUUGGAAAAAGAUUUCAUUAUUGUGGAGCUUUUAAAAGAUUUAAGCAAAUAUAAUGUAGUUCUACAAAACAAGUAUCAGGUAGUUUCUCUGAGUCUCUCAACAUACAAUGGCCAAGAUAUGAAGUCUGAUUAUCAGACAGAGUAUAAGAAGUGGACUUCUGAAGAACAUUUGUGAAAACACACCAUUGGUUUUUCCAAACGUGUUCUUUGAUUUUAGGCCUCCUUCUUCUCUUGGAGUAAGACAAAUCUUUAAAAUAAAUGUUGGCAGAGACUGGAUAGCUUUUCUCCAGAUGUGCAUAAUACAGAUACUCUAUCAGACCAUCUACUUAGAUCAUGACCCCAGGAAAGUUCUUGAAUCUCUUUGAGUCUCAGUUUCUUCAUUCAUCAAGUAGAGAAAUAAUGCCCACCAGGCAGGGUUAUUUUAAGAACUCAAGAACUAAUGCUUAUCGAGUGCUUCCUAUGUUCCAGGCCCCAUACUAUGCGUUAUACAUGCACUAACUCAUUUAACCUCACACUAACCCAAGGGAUUAGGGACUGUUAUUACCACCCCAGUUCAUAGAUGUGGAAGCUCAGGUGUAGGGAACAUAGGAAGUUGCCCAGGUUAUACCUCGUGAGUGAGAGAGCCGGGCUCAAAGAGAGACAGCCUGAGCCUGAGACCCACACUCUUGAUCCCCAGCCCCAGUUCCUUGAACCUAUGAAGUGCUCAACUGUGGUUGUGCUCUCUCCUCUUGGACCUCUUCUUGACAUCUUCGUCUUCUAUUUCAUCAGAAAUUAUAUGGGAGAUGCUGCAACUCUAGAACAAUGUGAAAAUGUCCUAUGUGAUUUUUCCGUAAGUGCAAGACUUCUAAAUAUAUUGCAGUAUCAAUUCUUAAUAGUAUUUCAAAUGUUGAACCCAGAUCCAGUUACCUCUGUUCCUGUAUUCCUGUUCUGAUCAAAAAAUCAGAAUUGCAUUAAUUAUAUCACCAAUGGAGCAGAAUUGAUGUUUCAGCUGCAUAGGUCCAGACAAUUUGUUUACUUUUCCAGUAGACUGCCUCAUUUAUUCAGUCAAAUACAGAAAUACUCUCAUAAUAUAAUUUUAUAAAUAACAGAAAAUGUAUUCUUA
Molecule: long non-coding RNA, 4610 nt
Organism: Aethalodelphis obliquidens (Pacific white-sided dolphin)
Lineage: Eukaryota; Metazoa; Chordata; Mammalia; Artiodactyla; Delphinidae
Exons: 3
Source: RefSeq, a predicted model, not a curated record